UACGUAGGUGGCAAGCGUUGUCCGGAUUUACUGGGCGUAAAGAGCGCGCAGGCGGUCGUUCAAGUCGCGUGUGAAAGCCCCCGGCUCAACUGGGGAGGGUCACGCGAUACUGAUCGACUCGAAGGCAGGAGAGGGUAGUGGAAUUCCCGGUGUAGCGGUGAAAUGCGCAGAUAUCGGGAAGAACACCCGUGGCUAAGGCGGCUCUCUAGUACGGUACUGACGCUGAGACGCGAAAGCGUGGGGAGCGAACAGG
This 253-nucleotide ribosomal RNA is filed under the name uncultured bacterium. RNAcentral describes it as "partial 16S ribosomal RNA". It matches the Rfam family "Bacterial small subunit ribosomal RNA", at positions 524 to 776 of the family's 1533-position model. The record is from RNAcentral.